GGAGCAGGCCGGGCGACCGCCGAAGACCACACGUCUUCGGAGGAAAGUCCGGACACCAAAGGGCAGGGCGCUGGGUAACUCCCAGUGGGGGCGACCCCAAGGAAAGUGCCACAGAAACAUACCGCCCUGCACCACGCGCUAUGCUUGGGUGCAGGGUAAGGGUGCAAUCGUGCGGUAAGAGCGCACGAGGCUCCGGGUGACCGGAGACCUGGGGGCGGCCCGCCGCAUCCCCGGGUAGGCUGCUCGAGGCGCCUGGCAACAGGCGCCCCAGAGAGAUGGUCGCCGCUUGGUAACUCCUCAUACUCCUCGCCCCCCGUGAGGGGGGAGAGGGUAGGGUGAGGGGGCCAGGUACAGAACCCGGCUUAUAGGCCUGCUCCCACA
RNAcentral lists this RNase P RNA (381 nucleotides) under Candidatus Segetimicrobium genomatis. RNAcentral describes it as "Terrabacteria group bacterium ANGP1 RNase P RNA component class A". It matches the Rfam family "Bacterial RNase P class A". From Rfam's summary of the family: Ribonuclease P (RNase P) is a ubiquitous endoribonuclease, found in archaea, bacteria and eukarya as well as chloroplasts and mitochondria. Its best characterised activity is the generation of mature 5'-ends of tRNAs by cleaving the 5'-leader elements of precursor-tRNAs. Lineage: Bacteria; Bacillati; Candidatus Sysuimicrobiota; Candidatus Sysuimicrobiia; Candidatus Sysuimicrobiales; Candidatus Segetimicrobiaceae. The record is from RNAcentral.